GGGCGAAUGGUUUAGUGGUAUAAUUCUCGCUUAGCAUGGUUCUUCUGAAUAGCUUGUGAGCGGUCCGGGGUUCGAUUCCCCGUUUGUCCA
This 90-nucleotide transfer RNA is filed under the name Thelonectria olida. It matches the Rfam family "tRNA". From Rfam's summary of the family: Transfer RNA (tRNA) molecules are approximately 80 nucleotides in length. Their secondary structure includes four short double-helical elements and three loops (D, anti-codon, and T loops). The record is from Rfam by way of RNAcentral. Lineage: Eukaryota; Fungi; Ascomycota; Sordariomycetes; Hypocreales; Nectriaceae.